UACGAAGGGGGCUAGCGUUGUUCGGAUUCACUGGGCUUAAAGGGCGCGUAGGCGGGCCUGCAAGUCAGGGGUGAAAUCCCACGGCCCAACCGUGGAAGUGCCUCUGAUACUGCCGGCCUCGAGGGAGGUAGGGGCGUGCGGAACUCAGGGUGGAGCGGUGAAAUGCGUAGAUAUCCUGAGGAACACCGGUGGCGAAAGCGGCGCGCUGGACCUCUUCUGACGCUGAGGCGCGAAAGCCAGGGGAGCAAACGGG
Molecule: ribosomal RNA, 253 nt
Filed under: uncultured bacterium
Lineage: Bacteria
Description: partial 16S ribosomal RNA
Rfam family: Bacterial small subunit ribosomal RNA
Source: RNAcentral